UUGUCCCCUGCUACUGUGUUGUUCAUACAUCUUCUCUAGUUCUCUUCUCUUUCCUACAAAAACCAAGACACACUACACAGAGUUUCAACACAUAAAAUCUCAGAGCUCCCUCCUCUAUAUCUAAAAUCCUCUUCCCUUUGUGUCUUUUCUUGUGCCCUUCGCCUCAAUAUUUAUUUAUUUUUAAAAUUUUCAAGAAACUUUAAAGAACUCGUUUUUCCUUCGAUCUCCAUUUUUCUUUUUGCUGAAAUUCCACUCAAGAAACAAAACGCCGUCGUUUCAGAGAACUAUAUUGUAGGUGAGAAUUUAGUUUCCAAUUUGGGAAAUAAUGUAGGAAAAAAUAGAAAGAGGUUCUUUGUUCUUGUUUGAGAGUACUCAAAAUUGGGACUCCUUUUUUUCCCUUUCUUUUUGCAUGUGGGUUAUUAUUAGAUCUCAAAUUGGGCUAUUUCUUGCAAUUGAAUUGGUUUAUUUUUGUACUUUAAUGGGAUCUGAAGUGUAAAUAACUUAAUUUUUUGUUCUUUUUUUUUGUUUCAAUGCUACAGUAGAAUGCUUAUGGGUUAUGGUCGUUCACUUGUGGCCGAGUUUCUACUUUCUGGUGAUUGCCCAUCUGGUUAACUUACUCAGAAUAAAAAAGGUU
This 634-nucleotide long non-coding RNA is filed under the name Nicotiana tabacum (common tobacco). RNAcentral's name for it is "long non-coding RNA (NTAB_LNC014631)". Lineage: Eukaryota; Viridiplantae; Streptophyta; Magnoliopsida; Solanales; Solanaceae. The record is from RNAcentral.